Long non-coding RNA from Drosophila montana, 734 nucleotides. RefSeq lists it as uncharacterized. The transcript has 2 exons. The record is from RefSeq and is a predicted model, not a curated record. Lineage: Eukaryota; Metazoa; Arthropoda; Insecta; Diptera; Drosophilidae.
CCUAAAUACCCUGUAAAAGACUUGCAAACGGACAUUCAAACUGAAAGUGUUAAUUUCAGCCAGAUGCAUAUCGUAAGCAGUUGUACUUAAAUAUACUAUUCAGAUGUAUAUAUAAACGUAUGUAUAUGUUGAUUCAUACACGCAGUUCUUGGCACGAACUACGUCUUGCGGAAUUGGGGUAACACUUGUUAAUUUUGUGUGGCAGUCAACGUUGCGUAACCGAGCUGUGGAAUAGGACACUAUUUAUAUAUAUCCCUAACAUCUGGCACAGCUAAGAGUCCGUGUGCCCUGCUUGCGCCGGAUAAUUGGAUUUAUACGAUGGACACCUUUAAUUCAAAUAAUAAUUGUUGCAUGAUGUCGAGACCGCAUUGAUCCCAGAUUUGUGGCUGCUGAUUUUGGGUAUAUGCUGCCGCAUACGAAAGCUGCACUUUAUAAAUUUCUAAUUACACAUAUGCGACAAUGCCUGGGGCUCCGGCACGGGCGCACACAUUUAAGCCAAUGCUCAGGGCCAGGCUGGGUCAGAGCUGUGCAGAGCUUAAGAGCUGUCUAUAACGCACCUGUGGAACUACGUACACUGCACAAAAUUUGUCAGUAUGCGAAGAUUGAAAACUCUUACUGCAUUUCGAUACGAUCAUUUUAUGGAAAUCUUUCAUUUGACUCAGAACUCAAUUUGAUCUUAACGAUAUGUGAAUAUUAAAGUGAUCUACCAACCGGCUAGUAUUUAGUAUUUCUAA